CCUACGGGUGGCAGCAGUGGGGGAUAUUGCACAAUGGGGGAAACCCUGAUGCAGCGACGCCGCGUGAGGGAAGACGGUCCUAUGGAUUGUAAACCACUGUCCCCAGGGACGAAGAUGACGGUACCUGGGGAGGAAGCUCCGGCAAACUACGUGCCAGCAGCCGCGGUAAUACGCAGGGAGCGAGCGUUGUCAGGAAUUACUGGGUGAAAGGGGAGCGUCGGCGGGACUGCAAGUUGGGGGUCAAAUCUACCGGCUCAACCGGUAGCCGCACUCCAAACUGCAGUUCUUGAGUGAAGUAGAGGCAGGCGGAAUUCCUAGUGUAGCGGUGAAAUGCGUAGAUAUUAGGAGGAACACCAGUGGCGAAGGCGGCCUGCUGGGCUUUUACUGACGCUGAGGCUCGAAAGUGUGGGGAGCAAACAGGAUUAGAUACCCGAGUAGUC
RNAcentral lists this ribosomal RNA (440 nucleotides) under uncultured bacterium. Its description in RNAcentral is "partial 16S ribosomal RNA". It matches the Rfam family "Bacterial small subunit ribosomal RNA", at positions 338 to 795 of the family's 1533-position model. The record is from RNAcentral.